AGAGUUUGAUCAUGGCUCAGGACGUACGCUGGCGGCACGCCUAACACAUGCAAGUCGAACGCAGUAGCAAUACUGAGUGGCAAACGGGUGAGUAUAAUGUGGGAAUCUGCCUUUUGGUUUGGAAUAACACGGGGAAACUUGUGCUAAUACCGAAUAAGCCCUUACGGGGAAAGUUUUAACGCCGAAAGAUGAGCCCGCACUUGAUUAGCUAGUUGGUAAGGUAAAAGCUUACCAAGGCAACGAUCAAUAGCUGUUCUUAGAGGAAGACCAGCCACAUUGGGACUGAGACACGGCCCAGACUCCUACGGGAGGCAGCAGUGGGGAAUCUUGCACAAUGGGGGAAACCCUGAUGCAGCGAUGCCGCGUGAGUGAAGAAGGCCCUUGGGUUGUAAAACUCUUUCGUCGGGGAAGAAAAUGACUGUACCCGAAUAAGAAGGUCCGGCUAACUUCGUGCCAGCAGCCGCGGUAAU
This 470-nucleotide ribosomal RNA is filed under the name uncultured bacterium. RNAcentral's name for it is "bacterial SSU rRNA". It matches the Rfam family "Bacterial small subunit ribosomal RNA", at positions 8 to 524 of the family's 1533-position model. The record is from RNAcentral.